Molecule: long non-coding RNA, 1225 nt
Filed under: Gossypium barbadense (sea-island cotton)
Lineage: Eukaryota; Viridiplantae; Streptophyta; Magnoliopsida; Malvales; Malvaceae
Description: long non-coding RNA (GBAR_LNC019534)
Source: RNAcentral
AGCUUCAAGUCAAAGGAAUACGUGCGUGAAACUUUUGCUUGGAUGCAUUACUAUUGGUACCUUACAAAUGAUGGCAUUGAGUUCUUAAGGACUUACCUGAACCUUCCUUCUGAGAUUGUUCCUGCUACUUUGAAGAAACAAGCUAAACCUGCUGGUCGUCCCAUGGGCCCUCCCGGUGACCGUCCACGGUAAUGGUUUCAUUCUUUCAAAAUUUGCUACUCUUUGAUUUUUUCCUAUGUUGGUUGAUGAAAAUUUGUUGCUUUGUUAAUUUUUAUGCUGGUUUUGAAUGUAUCAGCGGCCCACCACGCUUUGGUGACGGUGAGAGGAGAUUUGGUGACAGAGAUGGCUAUCGCGGUGGUCCUCGAGGAGGCGGUGAUUUUGGUGAUAAAGGAGGAGCUCCAGCUGAUUAUCAGCCUUCAUUCAGGGUAAUGCUUCUUUCAAUAAUUUUGGGACCUUUUUUUAAAUAUAUAUUGGCUGUUUUGUUACCACUUGGAUUAUGACUUUGUUUACAAAGUUAGGCUUGUCUGUAUGAGGUUUAGGGUUUUUACAGUAGUUCUUAGCUGUCUUAGUUAUGACCAAUUAUGGAAUUAUUUGUUUGCUUUUUGGUAUUUGCAUACCGUGUUACUGUCUCUGAUGUGGGGUAUGUUCAUUUUUUUAAAGUUUUCCAUGCAUUUCAAGAAUCCUUAGAGGAUUGGAUCCUCACACCCAUAUUCGAAAAUGUGUUUGACACAUGUGUCGGAUACGAAUAUUUCAAGAAUAAUGAAGAGUCUUGAGUAACUUGGUUUACUUGUUUUGUUCCACCAGCUUAGUUUCAAAUAUGAAAAUGAAUUUUGUACCUGAGAUUUUAAUGCCUAUAGUGGCUUAAUAUAAGCUGUGAACGAGUGUUGGGCUUGCUAUGAUGUUAUUCUUCUUUGAAGAAUGCAGUUUCAUAUAAUUUGCUUGCACCAUAUCAAUGAGGUUAUUUAUCUUAUAAUAGAGAAGCUGAUAUAAUUUCAUUGUCUUACUUGUGAACGCCCAGGGCCCUGGAACACGGCCUGCUUUUGGUCGUGGAGGUGGUGGUUAUGGUGGUGCUGGACCUGCUGGUCUUCCUUGAGAGAUGAUUUUUCAUGAUGGAUAAUUUUGUCAGUUUAGGUUUGUUAUCAUAUGGAGUUCAUAGAAGUACUUGGCUUAUGCUUCAAUGUUCGGUAAUUUUGGUUUGAUGCUUAAAAACGCUGCUUCUCUUUGG